CGCGGCCUAUCAGCUUGUUGGUGGGGUGAUGGCCUACCAAGGCGACGACGGGUAGCCGGCCUGAGAGGGCGACCGGCCACACUGGGACUGAGACACGGCCCAGACUCCUACGGGAGGCAGCAGUGGGGAAUAUUGCACAAUGGGCGGAAGCCUGAUGCAGCGACGCCGCGUGAGGGAUGACGGCCUUCGGGUUGUAAACCUCUUUCAGCAGGGACGAAGCGAGAGUGACGGUACCUGCAGAAGAAGCGCCGGCCAACUACGUGCCAGCAGCCGCGGUAAGACGUAGGGCGCGAGCGUUGUCCGGAUUUAUUGGGCGUAAAGAGCUCGUAGGCGGCUUGUCGCGUCGAAUGUGAAAUCCUGCGGCUCAACUGCAGGCUUGCAUUCGAUACGGGCAGGCUCGAGUUCGGUAGGGGAGACUGGAAUUCCUGGUGUAGCGGUGAAAUGCGCAGAUAUCAGGAGGAACACCGGUGGCGAAGGCGGGUCUCUGGGCCGAUACUGACGCUGAGGAGCGAAAGCGUGGGGAGCGAACAGGAUUAGAUACCCUGGUAGUCCACGCCGUAAACGGUGGGAACUAGGUGUUGGCGACAUUCCACGUCGUCGGUGCCGCAGCUAACGCAUUAGGUUCCCCGCCUGGGGAGUACGG
This 643-nucleotide ribosomal RNA is filed under the name uncultured bacterium. RNAcentral's name for it is "bacterial SSU rRNA". It matches the Rfam family "Bacterial small subunit ribosomal RNA", at positions 232 to 885 of the family's 1533-position model. The record is from RNAcentral.